This 810-nucleotide ribosomal RNA is filed under the name metagenome. Its description in RNAcentral is "bacterial SSU rRNA". It matches the Rfam family "Bacterial small subunit ribosomal RNA", at positions 561 to 1380 of the family's 1533-position model. The record is from RNAcentral.
UAAAGGGUCCGUAGGCGGGCUAAUAAGUCAGAGGUGAAAGUUUGCAGCUCAACUGUAAAAUUGCCUUUGAUACUGUUAGUCUUGAGUUAUAGUGAAGUGGUUAGAAUAAGUGGUGUAGCGGUGAAAUGCAUAGAUAUCACUUAGAAUACCGAUUGCGAAGGCAGAUCACUAACUAUAUACUGACGCUGAGGGACGAAAGCAUGGGUAGCGAACGGGAUUAGAUACCCCGGUAGUCCAUGCUGUAAACGAUGGAUACUAGCUGUUGGCUUCGGUCAGUGGCUAAGCGAAAGUGAUAAGUAUCCCACCUGGGGAGUACGUUCGCAAGAAUGAAACUCAAAGGAAUUGACGGGGGCCCGCACAAGCGGUGGAGCAUGUGGUUUAAUUCGAUGAUACGCGAGGAACCUUACCAGGGCUUAAAUGGGAGAUGACAGGGGCAGAGACGCCCUUUUCUUCGGACAUCUUUCAAGGUGCUGCAUGGUUGUCGUCAGCUCGUGCCGUGAGGUGUCAGGUUAAGUCCUAUAACGAGCGCAACCCCUACCGUUAGUUGCCAGCGAUUCAAGUCGGGGACUCUAACGGGACUGCCGGUGCAAACCGUGAGGAAGGUGGGGACGACGUCAAAUCAUCACGGCCCUUACGUCCUGGGCUACACACGUGCUACAAUGGUCGGUACAGAGGGAAGCUACCCUGCAAGGGGAUGCGGAUCUAUAAAACCGAUCUCAGUUCGGAUCGGGGUCUGCAACUCGACCCCGUGAAGCUGGAAUCGCUAGUAAUCGGAUAUCAGCCAUGAUCCGGUGAAUACGUUCCCGGGCC